GACCUACGGGACGCAGCAGUGGGGAAUAUUGCACAAUGGGGGAAACCCUGAUGCAGCAACGCCGCGUGAGUGAAGAAGUCAUUCGUGAUGUAAAGCUCUAUCAGCAGGGAAGAAAAUGACGGUACCUGAGUAAGAAGCCCCGGCUAACUACGUGCCAGCAGCCGCGGUAAUACGUAGGGGGCAAGCGUUAUCCGGAUUUACUGGGUGUAAAGGGAGCGUAGGCGGCCAUGCAAGUCAGAAGUGAAAACCCGGGGCUCAACCCUGGGAGUGCUUUUGAAACUGUGCGGCUAGAGUGUCGGAGGGGG
RNAcentral lists this ribosomal RNA (305 nucleotides) under uncultured bacterium. Its description in RNAcentral is "bacterial SSU rRNA". It matches the Rfam family "Bacterial small subunit ribosomal RNA", at positions 335 to 658 of the family's 1533-position model. The record is from RNAcentral.